RNAcentral lists this ribosomal RNA (301 nucleotides) under uncultured bacterium. RNAcentral's name for it is "partial 16S ribosomal RNA". It matches the Rfam family "Bacterial small subunit ribosomal RNA", at positions 509 to 809 of the family's 1533-position model. The record is from RNAcentral.
CAGUCGCCGCGGGAAUACGAAGGGUGCAAGCGUUAAUCGGAAUUACUGGGCGUAAAGCGCGCGUAGGUGGUUUGGUAAGAUGGAUGUGAAAUCCCCGGGCUCAACCUGGGAACUGCAUCCAUAACUGCCUGACUAGAGUACGGUAGAGGGUGGUGGAAUUUCCUGUGUAGCGGUGAAAUGCGUAGAUAUAGGAAGGAACACCAGUGGCGAAGGCGACCACCUGGACUGAUACUGACACUGAGGUGCGAAAGCGUGGGGAGCAAACAGGAUUAGAUACCCCGGUAGUCCCUGUCUUUUAUAC